This 180-nucleotide ribosomal RNA is filed under the name Trichoderma koningii. Its description in RNAcentral is "5.8S ribosomal RNA". The stretch from base 58 to 180 matches the Rfam family "5.8S ribosomal RNA", at positions 1 to 123 of the family's 154-position model. Rfam says of the family: 5.8S ribosomal RNA (5.8S rRNA) is a component of the large subunit of the eukaryotic ribosome. It is transcribed by RNA polymerase I as part of the 45S precursor that also contains 18S and 28S rRNA. Lineage: Eukaryota; Fungi; Ascomycota; Sordariomycetes; Hypocreales; Hypocreaceae. The record is from RNAcentral.
AGUCCCCUCGCGGACGUUAUUUCUUACAGCUCUGAGCAAAAAUUCAAAAUGAAUCAAAACUUUCAACAACGGAUCUCUUGGUUCUGGCAUCGAUGAAGAACGCAGCGAAAUGCGAUAAGUAAUGUGAAUUGCAGAAUUCAGUGAAUCAUCGAAUCUUUGAACGCACAUUGCGCCCGCCAG